AUUGAACGCUAGCGGGAUGCUUUACACAUGCAAGUCGAACGAGUGGCGGACGGGUGAGUAAUAUAUCGGAACGUGCCCAGUAGCGGGGUAUAACUACUCGAAAGGGUUGCUAAUACCGCCUAAUAUUGGAUCUGCCGAUAUCGGAUGAGCUAGUUGGUGGGGUAAAGGCUCACCAAGGCAACGAUCCGUAGCUGGUUUGAGAGGACGACCAGCCACACUGGGACGGAGACACGGACCAGACUCCUACGGGAGGCAGCAGUGGGGAAGUUUGGACAAUGGGGGAAACCCGGAUCCAGCCAUCCCGCGUGUAUGAGAAGGCCUUCGGGUUGUAAAGUACUUUUGGCAGAGAAGCGGUAUCUGCAGAAUAAGCACCGGCUAACUACGUGCCAGCAGCCGCGGUAAUAC
RNAcentral lists this ribosomal RNA (405 nucleotides) under uncultured bacterium. RNAcentral's name for it is "partial 16S ribosomal RNA". It matches the Rfam family "Bacterial small subunit ribosomal RNA", at positions 30 to 526 of the family's 1533-position model. The record is from RNAcentral.